Molecule: ribosomal RNA, 497 nt
Filed under: uncultured bacterium
Lineage: Bacteria
Description: partial 16S ribosomal RNA
Rfam family: Bacterial small subunit ribosomal RNA
Source: RNAcentral
GGUGAACGCUGGCGGCGUGCCUAAUACAUGCAAGUCGAGCGAACGGACGAGAAGCUUGCUUCUCUGCUGUUAGCGGCGGACGGGUGAGUAACACGUGGAUAACCUACCUCUAAGACUGGGAUAACUUCGGGAAACCGGAGCUAAUACUGGCUAAUAUUUUGAACCGCUUGGUUCAAAAGUGAAAGACGGUCUUGCUGUCACUUAUAGCUGGUUCCGGGUUGCAUUAGCUAGUUGGUAAGGUAACGGCUUACCAAGGCAACGAUGCUUAGCCGACCUGAGAGGGUGAUCGGCCACACUGGAACUGAGACACGGUCCAGACUCCUACGGGAGGCAGCAGUAGGGAAUCUUCCGCAAUGGGCGAAAGCCUGACGGAGCAACGCCGCGUGAGUGAUGAAGGUCUUCGGAUCGUAAAACUCUGUUAUUAGGAAAGAACAGAUGUGGAAUUAACUGUGCACAUCUUGACGGUACCUAAAGAAAAAGCCACGGCUAACUACGUG